CUUAAAUAAGAAUCUUCGCUCAACUGGCCAAACAGAAAAAAAAACAUGGGCUUUAGAAUUAUGUAUCACCUUGCCAACAUUACAGUGAAGCUCACAUGAGAUCCUGAAACUGCCCUCAGUGAAGAAACUAAAGCUCAUCAGAUUACCGUGUCCAGAAAGUGAGACACCAGCUCCCCCUAUCCAUCAUGACUGCUUCCUUACCACUCCCUAAUUCCUGUUUUUCCACCUUUCCUGCCAUAUAAACCCCACCAUUUUAGUUGGGUAGAAGAUGGAUUUGCUACUUUAUCUCCUGUUAUCUUUGGCUGCAGCACCAGAUUAAAGCCUUCUUCCCUGACAAUACUCCUUGUCUCAGUGAUUGGCAUUCAUGCCACAAGCAGCAGGACCUAUACUGAACCCCUGGAGUUUUGGUGACAUUAUGAUUACCAGGAUAAGAGACAGCAGCUACUAAUGAAACAUAAAUCAGUGUGGCCGAGGAUGUCAUGCAAAGAAAUGGUCCUUUGCUCAAUCCAGGUGAAAGCAUUUGUCUUUACAGGCUUUUCUGGAGUUUUGUUUCUAUAGAAGCACUUUGGAUCAUAAUUUAUGAGGAUCUCACUCUGUCACCCUGGAGUGCAGCAGUGUGAUUAUGGCUCAUUGCAGCCUUCACCUCCCGGGCUCAGGUGAUCUUCCCACCUCAACCUCCCAAGUAGCUGAGAUUGAAGGUGCAUGUCACCAUGCCCAGCUAAUUUUUUUUUUCUUUUUGUCUUUUUGUAGAGACGGGGACUUGCCAUGUUGCCCAGGCUGCUCUCGAGCUCCUGGACUUAAGUGAGCCAUCCACACUGGCCUCCCAAAGUGAUGGGAUUACAGGUGUGAGUCACCACACCCAGCCAGGGAAUGAUUUGUUUUAAAUUCAUUGUAAUAAUCCCAUGGAGGUUUUAGAGACCAUUUCAAUAAUUUGUGAUAACUUUAAAUUUUUUUUUCUCAAACACCUAUUUUAGUUUACUCACAAUAUACACCAAGCCAUUUACACGAAGGAAAUCUCAAUAUUAAUAUCCUAUAAUGAAGGUCAACAACAUGCAAGAAUUUAGAUUCUCGGUAUGCUCAAGAAACUUGAAAAUUAACUCAGCAAUUGGACAAAAAAAAAAAAAGAUUCUCAUUUAUUCUGGCGAAAUAGAAUGAGAAGGCAAAUAUAUUAAGAAAGACAAUGGUGAAGUCAAUAGGAUGCCAGAAAAUGAAUGUGUUCCUGUGAGUAUCGUUCAUACACAUGCAACAUAACAGUGUGCCAGCAUUGUUCUAAGCACAUUGCAAAUAUUGAGUUACCUCAUCCUUAUAACAAUCUUAGGAGUACAUAUCAUUAAAAUUUUUAUAUUUUCUGAAUGAGAAAACUUUGUUUAGAGAAAUUAAGUAGCUUUCUCAAUGUCAGGAUUCAAAAUAAUAAAACACGUUUUUGAUUGAAUCAACAAAAGGCCAUAGGAACCACUUUAAACAAAGAAGUAUUUAUUAAGGAGUUUGGUAACUUGUAGAUACCACAGUGUUCUGCAUGUACUAUGUUGUUCCACAGGACAAUAUCUACACUUGGUGUCACUUAAGUUACCUACUUGCCCCUCUCCAAGUCCCAUGCUGUAAGUUUAUCUGUCAGAUGAGAAGUUUUCUAUUAAAUAAUUUGUAAGAAUUCUGAAAAGAUUUACCACUCUGAGCUAUAAUCUCAAUAUAUUUCCCUUAUUUAACUCAAGUUUCUUUAAUGUAUGGAUUGUAAAAUUGAGUGAUUAUUUCAAGUCUUGUGUAUAAUGAUAUGCCUCCAGGCCAACUUCACUGAGGAGAUAGUGAAUAAAUUUGAUAUGUCUCCUCUCAUCUUCUUUACUAAAUGUUGACAUUUCAGUCUUUUCCUCUGUUGUUUAUUUGGUGUCACAGUUUCUCCGACAUGAGUUUUUAGUUAGAAGCCAGCUUGAAUAUGCCAUUAAAAUGUUCAUUAAAAAGGUUCUUCUCUCAUGUAUGUACAUUUUUGAAAUUUUAUCUAGAACAUUUGAAGACAGAAAAUUUAAA
Molecule: long non-coding RNA, 2019 nt
Filed under: Homo sapiens (human)
Lineage: Eukaryota; Metazoa; Chordata; Mammalia; Primates; Hominidae
Description: HSALNT0041137
Source: RNAcentral